ACGCUCGACACCUACUGGAGGCAGCAGUGGGGAAUAUUGCACAAUGGGGGAAACCCUGAUGCAGCGACGCCGCGUGGAGGAAGAAGGUCUUCGGAUUGUAAACUCCUGUUGUUGGGGAAAAAGAGGAUGGUACCCAACAAGGAAGUGACGGCUAACUACGUGCCAGCAGCCGCGGUAAUCUGAGCGGGCUGGCAAGGC
This 198-nucleotide ribosomal RNA is filed under the name uncultured bacterium. RNAcentral's name for it is "partial 16S ribosomal RNA". It matches the Rfam family "Bacterial small subunit ribosomal RNA", at positions 328 to 539 of the family's 1533-position model. The record is from RNAcentral.